GGCCCGGUAGUGUAAUGGUAACACACCUGCUUAUCUUUUCCACCUGUGUAUUUGCAAUGAUCUGCAGGAGUCCCCCGUUCAAUUCGGGGCCGGGUUA
Non-coding RNA from Mycena galericulata, 97 nucleotides. Lineage: Eukaryota; Fungi; Basidiomycota; Agaricomycetes; Agaricales; Mycenaceae. The record is from the annotation of a GenBank genome assembly.